Molecule: long non-coding RNA, 708 nt
Organism: Daktulosphaira vitifoliae (grape phylloxera)
Lineage: Eukaryota; Metazoa; Arthropoda; Insecta; Hemiptera; Phylloxeridae
Exons: 4
Source: RefSeq, a predicted model, not a curated record
GUUUUACGGCCACUAAUUCCGGUAGGAGUACAUGGCAUCAGAAUUAGUGUAAAAAGAAUAUAUUAAAAAUUGAACUAUUAAAAUAAGGUAAAUUCAAAAAGAGAAUAUAGUAAAAUGUAUUGGGUGUAAGGUUGACGUUUGUUAAUGAGAAAUUUUUUUGCUAAAAAUUGAAGUGAUGAUCAAAAAAUAUAAUUUGAAAAAACUAAAAAAACACGUGGCAAUUGAGAUUUUAAUAAAUAUUUUCCUACAUCUGUCCUCCAAUUUUGAGCUGAAAUAAUGUAUAUCAAUCUCUGUAAAUAAAAAAAAAAUCAGAAAUUCAAGUAAAUCAAUUAUACGAUAUAAAAUAACUAGAGCUGUGGUGAAAUUUCGUUGUAUGAUCUAAUUAUAAAUUAUUAAGUUAGAAUUACAUGGAUAAUUUGAUUGACAAAAUAUUUUGUCGAUGGAACCAACGUACGGUUGCUGAGUCGGUAAAACUUGUGUUUUACGCACUUGGGGUACAAGAUUCCAACCCUUCUAUGACAAUGAAUAUUUGCAUUUUUUUUCUUAAUUCUUUUUAAGUUAAAAUAAUAUUCAACUCCUUUGAUAUUAAUCACCUUUAGUUUCAAUAAAGAUCAAGGAUCCCAUCACUUUAGUCACCCCGUACGAGAAGAAAUUUCUUAUUCAUAUUUUAAUUAUUUUACUAUAUUUUAAGUCUUAAUUUUGAUGCAA